GACGGACUGAAGGCUCUUUCUCGAUUCCGUGGAAAGUGGUGCAUGGCCGUUUUUGGUUGGUGGAUCGAUCCGUCUGGUUAAUUCCGUUAACGAACGAGACCUCGGCACUCCGAAUAGCGCGGCGGACGUCGCGGCCUCCGGGCCGUCUUCCGCACGAGCUUCUUAGAGGGACCGUCCCCCGCCGGGGAAGGAGGUGCGAGGCAACGACAGGUCUGUGAUGCCCUUAGAUGUUCUGGGCCGCACGCGCAUUACACUGACGCGUCCAACGGGUGACUCCCGACCCGAAGGGGCCGGGGAAUCCGCAAGGCGCGUCGUGAUGGGGAUUGAACGUUGCAAUUGUUGUUCACGAACGAGGAAUUCCUAGUAGGCGCGGGUCAUCAACCCGCGCCGAUUACGUCCCUGCCCUUUGUACACACCGCCCGU
RNAcentral lists this ribosomal RNA (423 nucleotides) under uncultured eukaryote. RNAcentral describes it as "bacterial SSU rRNA". It matches the Rfam family "Eukaryotic small subunit ribosomal RNA", at positions 1242 to 1676 of the family's 1831-position model. The record is from RNAcentral.